Molecule: ribosomal RNA, 668 nt
Filed under: uncultured bacterium
Lineage: Bacteria
Description: bacterial SSU rRNA
Rfam family: Bacterial small subunit ribosomal RNA
Source: RNAcentral
GAGUAAUGCCUAGGAAUCUGCCUGGUAGUGGGGAUGACGUUCGGAAACGGACGCUAAUACCGCACACGUCCUACGGGAGAAAGCAGGGGACCUUCGGGCCUUGCGCUAUCAGAUGAGCCUAGGUCGGAUUAGCUAGUUGGUGGGGUAAUGGCUCACCAAGGCGACGAUCCGUAACUGGUCUGAGAGGAUGAUCAGUCACACUGGAACUGAGACACGGUCCAGACUCCUACGGGAGGCAGCAGUGGGGAAUAUUGGACAAUGGGCGAAAGCCUGAUCCAGCCAUGCCGCGUGUGUGAAGAAGAUCUUCGGAUUGUAAAGCACUUUAAGUUGGGAGGAAGGGUUGUAGAUUAAUACUCUGCAAUUUUGACGUUACCGACAGAAUAAGCACCGGCUAACUCUGUGCCAGCAGCCGCGGUAAUACAGAGGGUGCAAGCGUUAAUCGGAAUUACUGGGCGUAAAGCGCGCGUAGGUGGUUAGUUAAGUUGGAUGUGAAAUCCCCGGGCUCAACCUGGGAACUGCAUUCAAAACUGACUGACUAGAGUAUGGUAGAGGGUGGUGGAAUUUCCUGUGUAGCGGUGAAAUGCGUAGAUAUAGGAAGGAACACCAGUGGCGAAGGCGACCACCUGGACUGAUACUGACACUGAGGUGCGAAAGCGUGGGGAGCAAAC